Molecule: ribosomal RNA, 497 nt
Filed under: uncultured bacterium
Lineage: Bacteria
Description: partial 16S ribosomal RNA
Rfam family: Bacterial small subunit ribosomal RNA
Source: RNAcentral
GAUGAACGCUGGCGGCGUGCCUAAUACAUGCAAGUCGAGCGAACAGACGAGGAGCUUGCUCCUCUGACGUUAGCGGCGGACGGGUGAGUAACACGUGGAUAACCUACCUAUAAGACUGGGAUAACUUCGGGAAACCGGAGCUAAUACCGGAUAAUAUAUUGAACCGCAUGGUUCAAUAGUGAAAGACGGUUUUGCUGUCACUUAUAGAUGGAUCCGCGCCGCAUUAGCUAGUUGGUAAGGUAACGGCUUACCAAGGCGACGAUGCGUAGCCGACCUGAGAGGAUGAUCGGCCCCACUGGAACUGAGACACGGUCCAGACUCCUACGGGAGGCAGCAGUAGGGAAUCUUCCGCAAUGGGCGAAGGCCUGACGGAGCAACGCCGCGUGAGUGAUGAAGGUCUUCGGAUCGUAAAACUCUGUUAUUAGGGAAGAACAAAUGUGUAAGUAACUAUGCACGUCUUGACGGUACCUAAUCAGAAAGCCACGGCUAACUACGUG